RNAcentral lists this ribosomal RNA (610 nucleotides) under uncultured archaeon. RNAcentral's name for it is "bacterial SSU rRNA". It matches the Rfam family "Archaeal small subunit ribosomal RNA", at positions 320 to 930 of the family's 1478-position model. The record is from RNAcentral.
GCCCUACGGGGUGCAGCAGGCGCGAAAACUUUACAAUGCUGGGAACAGCGAUAAGGGAACCUCGAGUGCCAGGUUACAAAUCUGGCUGUCGUGAUGCCUAAAAAGCAUUAUAUAGCAAGGGCCGGGCAAGACCGGUGCCAGCCGCCGCGGUAACGCCGGCGGCUCGAGUGGUAACCGUUAUUAUUGGGUCUAAAGGGUCUGUAGCCGGCCGGAUAAGUCUCUUGGGAAAUCUGGCAGCUCAACUGUCAGGCUUUCAGGGGAUACUGUCUGGCUCGAGGCCGGGAGAGGUGAGAGGUACUUCAGGGGUAGGGGUGAAAUCUUGUAAUCCUUGAAGGACCACCAGUGGCGAAGGCGUCUCACCAGAACGGACCUGACGGCAAGGGACGAAAGCUAGGGGCACGAACCGGAUUAGAUACCCGGGUAGUCCUAGCCGUAAACGAUACUCGCUAGGUGUCGGCCACGGUGCGACCGUUGUCGGUGCCGUAGGGAAGCCGUGAAGCGAGCCACCUGGGAAGUACGGCCGCAAGGCUGAAACUUAAAGGAAUUGGCGGGGGAGCACUACAACGGGUGGAGCCUGCGGUUUAAUUGGAUUCAACGUCGGAAAUCUCAC